AUGUAGAACGGCUCCGGGUGGCUACUGACAGGAGGGCUAAACUCAUUCGCAGGGGAGUGCCCAAACAAACAAAACAAACAAACAAAAAGUUAAACAGUUUGUCCGCUCGUACAAUCAGCACCAUCAGAGACAACUCGGACCAGGAGCGGACUAACUUUGAAACAAAAACCCUUAAAAGGACAGCAGGCAACGGUACGCAACAGCUGCAGCGUUGAAUUCCCUUACUCAACUGACAGACUUUCCCCGGCUCUACA
This is a long non-coding RNA of Melanotaenia boesemani (Boeseman's rainbowfish), 254 nucleotides long. RefSeq lists it as uncharacterized. The record is from RefSeq and is a predicted model, not a curated record. Lineage: Eukaryota; Metazoa; Chordata; Actinopteri; Atheriniformes; Melanotaeniidae. The transcript is spliced from 4 exons.